CUUGAAAUACCACCCUUUAAUGUUUGAUGUUCUAACGUGGACCCGUAAUCCGGGUUGCGGACAGUGUCUGGUGGGUAGUUUGACUGGGGCGGUCUCCUCCUAAAGAGUAACGGAGGAGCACGAAGGUUGGCUAAUCCUGGUCGGACAUCAGGAGGUUAGUGCAAUGGCAUAAGCCAGCUUGACUGCGAGCGUGACGGCGCGAGCAGGUGCGAAAGCAGGUCAUAGUGAUCCGGUGGUUCUGAAUGGAAGGGCCAUCGCUCAACGGAUAAAAGGUACUCCGGGGAUAACAGGCUGAUACCGCCCAAGAGUUCAUAUCGACGGCGGUGUUUGGCACCUCGAUGUCGGCUCAUCACAUCCUGGGGCUGAAGUAGGUCCCAAGGGUAUGGCUGUUCGCCAUUUAAAGUGGUACGCGAGCUGGGUUUAGAACGUCGUGAGACAGUUCGGUCCCUAUCUGCCGUGGGCGCUGGAGAACUGAGGGGGGCUGCUCCUAGUACGAGAGGACCGGAGUGGACGCAUCACUGGUGUUCGGGUUGUCAUGCCAAUGGCACUGCCCGGUAGCUAAAUGCGGAAGAGAUAAGUGCUGAAAGCAUCUAA
Molecule: ribosomal RNA, 594 nt
Filed under: Salmonella enterica subsp. enterica
Lineage: Bacteria; Pseudomonadati; Pseudomonadota; Gammaproteobacteria; Enterobacterales; Enterobacteriaceae
Also listed under: 1 other name
Description: partial 23S ribosomal RNA
Rfam family: Bacterial large subunit ribosomal RNA
Source: RNAcentral